CUGUGCUAGAUGGGAAGGCAGCGGUGUCCUGUAACCCGCAAUCCGCUAUAGCGGGGUUGAAUUCCCGUCUGAGGCCUGUGAUAUGUAGGGUCAGCCCCAUGAGAGAAGCGUUGAAGGUUGGGUCUUGCGCAAUAGCAACCUGUGAACCCCGUCAGAUUCGGAAGAAAGCAGCGGUAAGCAGUCAUUGUUAUGUGCCGCAAGGUCAUCUGGCCUGAGCGGAUCGAAUGGACGGCGCCUGUAUAUUCUUGUCGGGGGCGGGUGCACGG
RNAcentral lists this signal recognition particle RNA (266 nucleotides) under Clostridiales bacterium. RNAcentral describes it as "signal recognition particle sRNA large type". It matches the Rfam family "Bacterial large signal recognition particle RNA". Rfam says of the family: The signal recognition particle (SRP) is a universally conserved ribonucleoprotein involved in the co-translational targeting of proteins to membranes. Archaeal SRP consists of a 7S RNA and homologues of the eukaryotic SRP19 and SRP54 proteins. Lineage: Bacteria; Bacillati; Bacillota; Clostridia; Eubacteriales. The record is from RNAcentral.